Molecule: ribosomal RNA, 433 nt
Filed under: uncultured bacterium
Lineage: Bacteria
Description: partial 16S ribosomal RNA
Rfam family: Bacterial small subunit ribosomal RNA
Source: RNAcentral
AACGAACGCUGGCGGCAGGCCUAACACAUGCAAGUCGAGCGAGCAUUUCGGUGCUAGCGGCGGACGGGUGAGUAACGCGUGGGAACGUGCCCUUUUCUGCGGAAUAGUCCUGGGAAACUGGGGGUAAUACCGCAUACGCCCUUUUGGGGAAAGAUUUAUCGGAGAAGGAUCGGCCCGCGUUGGAUUAGGUAGUUGGUGGGGUAAUGGCCCACCAAGCCGACGAUCCAUAGCUGGUUUGAGAGGAUGAUCAGCCACACUGGGACUGAGACACGGCCCAGACUCCUACAGGAGGCAGCAGUGGGGAAUCUUAGACAAUGGGGGCAACCCUGAUCUAGCCAUGCCGCGUGAGUGAUGAAGGCCUUAGGGUUGUAAAGCUCUUUCAGCUGGGAAGAUAAUGACGGUACCAGCAGAAGAAGCCCCGGCUAACUCCGUG